RNAcentral lists this small nucleolar RNA (297 nucleotides) under Echinops telfairi (small Madagascar hedgehog). RNAcentral's name for it is "Small Cajal body-specific RNA 2 (ENSETEG00000025033.1)". It matches the Rfam family "Small Cajal body-specific RNA 2", at positions 1 to 290 of the family's 420-position model. Lineage: Eukaryota; Metazoa; Chordata; Mammalia; Afrosoricida; Tenrecidae. The record is from RNAcentral.
GGUAUCUAGCAGGAGAGUGGCAUGGGGUCAGGUUUGUGUCCUGUGUCUCGUGGAAGGUACGUGUAGCCCGAAUGUGUGCGUGUGUCUGUGUGUGAAUGGGCGCGUAUGGGGAGGGCCAGACGAGUGUGUGAGUCCGCCCCUGCGCCCCUCUCCCCCACCUACACCUUGAUCUUAUUUGAUCGGGUCUGACCCCAGCCCGCUGGGCCAACCCAAAAUGAAAUGAUUGCCUCCCUCUGGGGCGCUGUGCAGCGAGGCAAAAAGGAAGAAAGAAAUUUAAGGUCUAAUGUGAAACCACAA